CAGCAGCCACGGGAAUACGAAGGGGGCUAGCGUUGUUCGGAUUUACUGGGCGUAAAGCGCACGUAGGCGGAUCGAUCAGUCAGGGGUGAAAUCCCAGAGCUCAACUCUGGAACUGCCUUUGAUACUGGAAGUCUUGAGUUCGGGAGAGGUGAGUGGAACUGCGAGUGUAGAGGUGAAAUUCGUAGAUAUUCGCAAGAACACCAGUGGCGAAGGCGGCUCACUGGCCCGAUGCUGACGCUGAGGUGCGAAAGCGUGGGGAGCAAACAGGAUUAGAUACCCGCGUAGUCCCUGUCUCUUAUAC
RNAcentral lists this ribosomal RNA (301 nucleotides) under uncultured bacterium. RNAcentral describes it as "partial 16S ribosomal RNA". It matches the Rfam family "Bacterial small subunit ribosomal RNA", at positions 509 to 807 of the family's 1533-position model. The record is from RNAcentral.